CCUACGGGUGGCAGCAGUGGGGAAUAUUGCACAAUGGGGGAAACCCUGAUGCAGCGACGCCGCGUGAGUGAAGAAGUAUUUCGGUAUGUAAAGCUCUAUCAGCAGGGAAGAAAAUGACGGUACCUGACUAAGAAGCCCCAGCUAACGACGAUCCAGCAGCAGCGGUAAUACGUAGGGGGCAAGCGUUAUCCGGAUUUACUCGGUGGAAAGGGCGCGUAGAAGGUUAAUCAAGUCAGAAGUGAAAACCCAGGGCUCAACCUUGGGACUGCUUUUGAAACUGAGAAGCUAGAGUGCAGGAGAGGUAAGCGGAAUUCCCAGGGUAGCGGUGAAAUGCGUAGAUAUUAGGAGGAACACCAGUGGCGAAGGCGGCUUGCUGGGUCGAUACUGACAUUGAGGCACGAAAGCGUGGGGAGCAAACAGGAUUAGAUACCCGAGUAGUC
RNAcentral lists this ribosomal RNA (440 nucleotides) under uncultured bacterium. RNAcentral describes it as "partial 16S ribosomal RNA". It matches the Rfam family "Bacterial small subunit ribosomal RNA", at positions 338 to 795 of the family's 1533-position model. The record is from RNAcentral.